RNAcentral lists this ribosomal RNA (301 nucleotides) under uncultured bacterium. Its description in RNAcentral is "partial 16S ribosomal RNA". It matches the Rfam family "Bacterial small subunit ribosomal RNA", at positions 509 to 808 of the family's 1533-position model. The record is from RNAcentral.
CAGUAGCCACGGUAAUACAGAGGGUGCGAGCGUUAAUCGGAUUUACUGGGCGUAAAGCGUGCGUAGGCGGCUUUUUAAGUCGGAUGUGAAAUCCCUGAGCUUAACUUAGGAAUUGCAUUCGAUACUGGGAAGCUAGAGUAUGGGAGAGGAUGGUAGAAUUCCAGGUGUAGCGGUGAAAUGCGUAGAGAUCUGGAGGAAUACCGAUGGCGAAGGCAGCCAUCUGGCCUAAUACUGACGCUGAGGUACGAAAGCAUGGGGAGCAAACAGGAUUAGAUACCCCCAGUAGUCCCUGUCUCUUAUU